AUUGAACGCUGGCGGCAGGCCUAACACAUGCAAGUCGAGCGAGUGGCGGACGGGUGAGUAAUGUAUGGGGACUGCCCGAUAGAGGGGGAUAACUACUGGAAACGGUAGCUAAUACCGCAUACUAUCGGAUAACCCAUAUGGGAUUAGCUAGUAGGUGAGGUAAUGGCUCACCUAGGCGACGAUCCCUAGCUGGUCUGAGAGGAUGAUCAGCCACACUGGGACUGAGACACGGCCCAGACUCCUACGGAGGCAGCAGUGGGGAAUAUUGCACAAUGGGCGCAAGCCUGAUGCAGCCAUGCCGCGUGUAUGAAGAAGGCCUUCGGGUUGUAAAGUACUUUCAGUCGGGAGGCGUUACCGACAGAAGAAGCACCGGCUAACUCCGUGCCAGCAGCCGCGGUAAUAC
This 403-nucleotide ribosomal RNA is filed under the name uncultured bacterium. RNAcentral's name for it is "partial 16S ribosomal RNA". It matches the Rfam family "Bacterial small subunit ribosomal RNA", at positions 30 to 526 of the family's 1533-position model. The record is from RNAcentral.